GUUAGGAAUCUCCCACAAUGGGGGCAACCCUGAUGGAGCAACACCGCGUGCUGGAUGAAGGCCUUCGGGUCGUAAACAGCUUUUGUAUACGAAGAAUAUGACGGUAAUAUACGAAUAAGGGUCGGCUAACUACGUGCCAGCAGCCGCGGUCAUACGUAGGACCCAAGCGUUAUCCGGAGUGACUGGGCGUAAAGAGUUGCGUAGGCGGCUUAUUAAGCGAGUAGUGAAAUCUGGUGGCUCAACCAUCAACACAUUGCUCGAACUGAUAGGCUUGAGAAUGGUAGAGGUAGUUGGAAUUUCUUGUGUAGGAGUGAAAUCCGUAGAUAUAAGAAGGAACACCAAUGGCGUAGGCAGACUACUGGACCAUUUCUGACGCUGAGGCACGAAAGCGUGGGGAGCGAACCGGAUUAGAAACCCUUGUAGUCC
Molecule: ribosomal RNA, 426 nt
Filed under: uncultured bacterium
Lineage: Bacteria
Description: partial 16S ribosomal RNA
Rfam family: Bacterial small subunit ribosomal RNA
Source: RNAcentral